CCCUUUUCAGGAUUGCACCUGGAGAGUUUCCAAUACUCUACCAGUCUUGACUACAGGAGGGAGAGUCAAGCAGAGGCAUACUCAUUCCAUUCCUAGCUUGGACAGUGGCUAGCGAGGGAGGGCAAUCUGCUACAAGU
Non-coding RNA from Ornithorhynchus anatinus (platypus), 137 nucleotides. Lineage: Eukaryota; Metazoa; Chordata; Mammalia; Monotremata; Ornithorhynchidae. The record is from Rfam.